Molecule: ribosomal RNA, 230 nt
Filed under: uncultured fungus
Lineage: Eukaryota; Fungi
Description: partial small subunit ribosomal RNA
Rfam family: Eukaryotic small subunit ribosomal RNA (bases 112-230)
Source: RNAcentral
GGCCUGGUGCGCUUGGCCCGCUGUGGUUUCACAUGUGAGUGCCGAUGCGUACCUGCCAUCCUUGCCGACCGACCGACCCCUUCUUCACUGAAGUGGGACGGAUCCCGGGCGGCAUCAUUUACUUUGAAAAAAUUAGAGUGUUUCAAGCAGGCAGUUUGCUAUGAAUACAUUAGCAUGGAAUAAUACGGUAGGACUUUUGUUCUAUUUUGUUGGUUUCUAGAGUGGAAGUC